CGGCAAUGGAGGAAACUCUGACCGAGCAACGCCGCGUGAAUGACGAAGUACUUCGGUAUGUAAAGUUCUUUUAUCAAGGAAGAAAAGCAAAUGGCGAACCAUUUGUUUGCCGGUACUUGAUGAAUAAGCCCCGGCUAAUUAUGUGCCAGCAGCCGCGGUAAGACAUAAGGGGCAAGUGUUAUCCGGAAUUAUUGGGCGUAAAGGGUGCGUAGGCGGUCUAGUAAGUCAGUGGUGUAAUGGCAACGCUUAACGUUGUCCGGCUAUUGAAACUGCUAAACUUGAGUUAGAUAGAGGCGAGUGGAAUUCCAUGUGUAGCGGUAAAAUGCGUAAAUAUAUGGAGGAACACCAGAGGCGUAGGCGGCUCGCUUGGUCUUAACUGACGCUGAGGCACGAAAGCGUGGGGAGCAAACAGGAUUAGAUACCCUGGUAGUCCACGCCGUAAACGAUGAGUACUAAGUGUCGGGUUAAACCGGUACUGAAGUUAACACAUUAAGUACUCCGCCUGAGUAGUACGUACGCAAGUAUGAAACUUAAAGGAAUUGACGGGACUCCGCACAAGCGGUGGAUCAUGUUGUUUAAUUCGAAGAUACCCGAAAAACCUUACCAGGUCUUGACAUGUUUUUGCAAAACGAUAGUAAUAUCGUGGAGGUUACCGGAAACACAGGUGGUGCAUGGUUGUCGUCAGCUCGUGUCGUGAGAUGUUAGGUUAAGUCCUAAAACGAGCGAAACCCUUAUCGUUAGUUGCCAGCACGUUAUGGUGGGGACUUUAACGAGACUGCCAAUGAUAAAUUGGAGGAAGGUGAGGAUCACGUCAAAUCAGCAUGCCCCUUAUGACCUGGGCUACAAACGUGAUACAAUGGCUGUUACAAAGAGUAGCUGAA
Molecule: ribosomal RNA, 881 nt
Filed under: Peruvian potato phytoplasma
Lineage: Bacteria; Bacillati; Mycoplasmatota; Mollicutes; Acholeplasmatales; Acholeplasmataceae
Description: bacterial SSU rRNA
Rfam family: Bacterial small subunit ribosomal RNA
Source: RNAcentral